GUUCAUCGAGAGAAGCUGGUCACGUUAGUAUUACAUACGUUCUGAGAAACUCCAGUCACAGCACUGAGACUAAAGCCAUCAGAGCCACAUGGGUCGUAUACACACACGCCUCUCCCUGACCCAUCAGGGAUGCCACAGUUGGACAGUGUAACAGCUGGGAGAGAACGAGAAAGAAAGAAAGAAAGAAAGAAAGAAAGAAAGAAAGAAAGAAAGAAAGAAAGAAAGAAAGAAAGAAAGAAAGAAAGAAAGAAAGAAAGAAAGAAAGAAAGAAAGAAAGAAAGAAAGAAAGAAAGAAAGAAAGAAAGAAAGAAAGAAAGAAAGAAAGAAAGAAAGAGAAGAUAUAUUGAGAGAGGAGAGGUUCGUAACUACACAGCAGGUCACUUGUUAAGGGUGAUUGUCAGUCAUUUUUGAGGUGUCCAUUUGUCUUAAGCAAAGAGAACGAUAGCACUGCGAUUGGUGGAAAUGUUGAACCUCCAACAGAAAGGAUUCUGGGAAGGCUCCCUAAUUAGUCACAGUAGCUUGAUCAGGAUGUAGAGUAAACUCAGACUGGGUCCAUGGUGAUGGAAGAGAGCCACAUAGAAACGUCUUCCAGUGCAGUCCUCUGAUAGACAAUUCACUUACUCGCCACCACUGCCAUGUCCCACUUUAGCCAAUUCAUGUAGGCUAUAAGCGCUUUAAGAGUGGUUUCUUAGUUCCGAUGGACACAGAGUGCUCUUUCUCACACAGGCAGUUAUUUCACUGCCAACUACUCUCGCACUGAAGGUUGUUGCACACAAUGUUGCUUUGUAUUGCACAGCGUUAUUGUGUAAACAAUAUUGAAUACCUGUGAAGCAUUUUCUACUUGCUCUCGCACAGAAAGACAUCCAUUCUCUUUGUGGAACGGAUGGUACAUUAUUGGAUCUAAUGUUUAUUUCAAGAGGCAGGCAGGAAAAUGCAACAAAGAGCAUGUGCAAGGACCCAAACAGACACACACAGUCUACGUCUGCAAUGACACCCUAUUCCCUGUAUAGUGCACUACUUUUGCCCACAGCCCAAUGUGGGCCCAAGUAUUGCACUCUUUCGGAGGCACACGCACAUAAUACUGUCAGCAUAAUCAAUUAGAUCACUUUAAAUUGGAGUCAGGCCCCGAUUCAGACCACAUAAUUGACUUAGACCUCAGAAACGUUGUCUCAUAAAAAAUGUAUAAUUUUUUAAUAAAAUAAUAAUUAAGAACACAAAUAUCAAUACCAUCAAGUACUGAGGAUAUGACCAAACCAGUCACAUGCAAUCAGUUACAGAAGCAUAUGACAAUAUCAUGAUACUCAAACAGUCUUGUAUGAAGUUAUUACAUCUCAGUAAGUCUGUUUAUUGUGUGUCUAUGAUAAUGCAGGUGUUUGAUCUUGAAAGUCUAGGUGAGCCUACAGUUGACCUUGAAUGUGUAAGAGAAGGUUUUGUGGGUGGUGUGUGUGUGUGUCUGUGUCUGUGUGUGUGGUUGAGGAACCCACCACAGGAAUGUGAGGUGUGUGAAGCAAACAGCUGUGGGUUCGAAAACCGACAAGACCGCACUAUGAUGCAUGUUAUCUCACUAUUUCCCCGCAGACAUUCAGGCCUCCCCCCCCUCUCUCUCUCUCC
Oncorhynchus tshawytscha (Chinook salmon) is the source of this 1611-nucleotide long non-coding RNA. NCBI's taxonomy places the organism in Eukaryota, Metazoa, Chordata, Actinopteri, Salmoniformes, Salmonidae. The record is from Ensembl.